Molecule: ribosomal RNA, 254 nt
Filed under: uncultured bacterium
Lineage: Bacteria
Description: partial 16S ribosomal RNA
Rfam family: Bacterial small subunit ribosomal RNA
Source: RNAcentral
UACGGGGGGAGCAAGCGUUGUUCGGAUUUACUGGGCGUAAAGGGCGCGUAGGCGGCCACCGCAAGUCGACUGUGAAAUCUCCGGGCUUAACUCGGAAAGGUCAACUGAUACUGUGCGACUAGAGUGCAGAAGGGGCAACUGGAAUUCUCGGUGUAGCGGUGAAAUGCGUAGAUAUCGAGAGGAACACCUGCGGCGAAGGCGGGUUGCUGGGCUGACACUGACGCUGAGGCGCGAAAGCCAGGGGAGCGAACGGG